UCCGUACGGGGAAGGAUGAGAAGCUUCGACUAAGGUUCGAUUCGAGCGAAAGCGAGAAAGCGUUGCCGCAGGCAACGACCCGAAGGGCGAAACGCGCAGCGCUGAGUCAUCCUUCCCCCACCACCA
Molecule: small RNA, 126 nt
Filed under: Salmonella enterica
Lineage: Bacteria; Pseudomonadati; Pseudomonadota; Gammaproteobacteria; Enterobacterales; Enterobacteriaceae
Description: partial RtT sRNA
Rfam family: RtT RNA
About the family: This family represents a bacterial cis-regulatory element known as RtT RNA. The exact function of RtT is unknown although it is thought that it may be involved in changing the cellular response in relation to amino acid starvation.
Source: RNAcentral